Long non-coding RNA from Triticum dicoccoides, 365 nucleotides. RefSeq lists it as uncharacterized. The transcript is spliced from 2 exons. NCBI's taxonomy places the organism in Eukaryota, Viridiplantae, Streptophyta, Magnoliopsida, Poales, Poaceae. The record is from RefSeq and is a predicted model, not a curated record.
CCCCUCCAGAUAUUUCUCCCGCAUCCGCCUCUUGCUCCUCCCCCACUCUCUCCCUCGUCUCCCUCGCUUAGAUCCGUCCGCACCCGCAGCCAUCAUCGUCAGCCACCGCGCUCCACCACGGCCACCGACGCCCCCGCAUCCAUCCGCAGUUCCCGCCAGUUACGUCCUGCUCCCCUACGUUGCCUGCGCCAAUGGGCUCGAGCCGGGCGCCUCUCCUUCGUGCGGGACGAGGUCGUCUUCAACCUCGAGGAGUCGCCGCCGCCUUCGAAUUCCGGCCACACCGAGCCUCCCUCGAGCACGCUUCGCACAACUACGGGCUCGCGACUCAGAGACCGCUGCCGAUGUCCGUGUGUUCGACUACAUCG